AUUUAAAUAUUUUAAUUAAAAUAAAGAUUUGUGGUGUCUUAGAUAGGGUUAUUCCUUUUAAAUU
This 64-nucleotide transfer RNA is filed under the name Bothrogonia yunana. Its description in RNAcentral is "tRNA-His". Lineage: Eukaryota; Metazoa; Arthropoda; Insecta; Hemiptera; Cicadellidae. The record is from RNAcentral.